GACGAACGCUGGCGGCGUGCUUAACACAUGCAAGUCGAACGGAAAGGCCCUGCUUUUGUGGGGUUCUCGAGUGGCGAACGGGUGAGUAACACGUGAGUAACCUGCCCUUGACUUUGGGAUAACUUCAGGAAACUGGGGCUAAUACCGGAUAUGAGCUCCUGCUGCAUGGUGGGGGUUGGUAAGUUUCGGCGGUUGUGGAUGUACUCGCUGCUUAUCAGCUUGUUUGUGGGGUAGUGGCUUACCAAGGCUUUGACGGGUAGCCGGCCUGAGAGGGUGACCGGCCACAAUGGGACUGAGAUAGGGACCAGACUCCUACGGGAGGCAGCAGUGGGGAAUAUUGCACAAUGGGCGGAAGCCUGAUGCAGAAACGCCGCGUGCGGGAUGACGGCCUUCGGGUUGUAAACAGAUUUCGAAUGUGACGAAGAGUGAGUGACGGUAAUGGGUAAAGAAGCACCGGCUAACUACGUG
RNAcentral lists this ribosomal RNA (468 nucleotides) under uncultured bacterium. RNAcentral's name for it is "partial 16S ribosomal RNA". It matches the Rfam family "Bacterial small subunit ribosomal RNA", at positions 28 to 507 of the family's 1533-position model. The record is from RNAcentral.